GCGUCCGACUCCAAGCUGCCCGACAUGCAGGCCGGGUGGGAGCAGAUGUGUUCUAACGUCAUGGCCGGCUUGUCCGGGGUCAACAUGGUCUAUGAGGCGG
Ruegeria sp. ANG-S4 is the source of this 100-nucleotide regulatory RNA element. It matches the Rfam family "Pyrrolysine insertion sequence mttB". The record is from Rfam. NCBI's taxonomy places the organism in Bacteria, Pseudomonadati, Pseudomonadota, Alphaproteobacteria, Rhodobacterales, Roseobacteraceae.